RNAcentral lists this long non-coding RNA (584 nucleotides) under Fukomys damarensis (Damara mole-rat). RNAcentral describes it as "lncRNA (ENSFDAG00000026110.1)". Lineage: Eukaryota; Metazoa; Chordata; Mammalia; Rodentia; Bathyergidae. The record is from RNAcentral.
GGUUGGGUCAGGAAGCCUUUCCACUUCCGCCAAUCUGUAGUUCUCCAGUUGCCAUGGAAACUGGGACAGUGGGGCCACACCAUCUGGACCCCUCUUUACAGCGACAACCCAAGUGUCAACAUCUGAGAACCCCAGUUCAGCCAGCUGGAAGCACUCACCUUUGUCUAACGAUGCCUUUGGUAUUUCAGCUGCAGGGAUACAUUUGAGAAGGUCUCACAGUUAAACUGCACUCCCCCAGAGGCAUGAGGAAGUCCUAGCCCCAACUACUCCAGACGCAGCCUCAUCUGGAAAUAGAGUUUGAAGAUGCUCUUGUGUUGAAACGAAGUCAGUGGGGUGAGCCCUAAUCCUGUUCACUGGAGUUUGGGUUUAGACCCAGAAUGGUCCCCAAAGCCUCCAGCCGAAAGGAAAAGCAAGAGACACAGGGCAGCCAGCCUGGGAACGCCAAGGAUUGGUGGCCACCACCGAAAGCCAAGUGGCAAGGCAGGGCUCUAGCCAGAGAGUUGGGGGACCACACCGUUCUAGCCGGGGUGCGGGGCCAGGACACCGCAGAGCUCCUCCCCCAUCCAACACAGUGGUGUCUUUAG